Molecule: RNase P RNA, 244 nt
Filed under: Oscillospiraceae bacterium
Lineage: Bacteria; Bacillati; Bacillota; Clostridia; Eubacteriales; Oscillospiraceae
Description: partial RNase P RNA component class A
Rfam family: Bacterial RNase P class A
About the family: Ribonuclease P (RNase P) is a ubiquitous endoribonuclease, found in archaea, bacteria and eukarya as well as chloroplasts and mitochondria.
Source: RNAcentral
UGGAAAGGUGAGGUAAGAGCUCACCCGAGGUACGGAGACGUACUUUCGCUGUAAACUCUAUUCGGAGCAACACCGUGGGUAGAGCUGCGUUAAAUCGCAAGGUUAGCCCGACCGCUCUCGGGAGGUGGCACGAGCUUAUCGGUAACGGUAAGCCAAGAUAGAUGAUAGCAAAGCCAUCAUAUAAGUAAUACACUUACUUUUAUGAUGGCUCUUACAGAAUCCGGCUUAUAGGCUUACUCACAAU